ACGCUGGCGGCACGCCUAAUACAUGCAAGUCGAACGAAGUAGCAAUACUUAGUGGCAGACGGGUGAGUAACAUGUAGGUAUCUUCCCUUUGGUGAGGAAUAACACGAGGAAACUUGUGCUAAUACCUCAUAAGUCUUUACGGAGAAAGCUUUAUGCGCCAAUGGAUGAGCCUGCACUUGAUUAGUUUGUUGGUAGGGUAAUGGCCUACCAAGACAAUGAUCAAUAGCUGAUUUGAGAGGAUGAUCAGCCACAUUGGGACUGAGACACGGCCCAAACUCCUACGGGAGGCAGCAGUAGGGAAUCUUGCACAAUGGGGGGAACCCUGAUGCAGCGAUGCCGCGUGAGUGAAGAAGGCCUUUGGGUUGUAAAGCUCUUUCGUCGGGGAAGAAAAUGACUGUACCCGAAUAAGAAGGUCCGGCUAACUUCGUGCCAGCAGCCGCGGUAAUACGAAGGGACCUAGCGUAGUUCGGAAUUACUGGGCUUAAAGAGUUCGUAGGUGGUUAAAAAAGUUGGUGGUGAAAUCCCAGAGCUUAACUCUGGAACUGCCAUCAAAACUUUUUAGCUAGAGUAUGAUAGAGGAAAGCAGAAUUUCUAGUGUAGAGGUGAAAUUCGUAGAUAUUAGAAAGAAUACCAAUUGCGAAGGCAGCUUUCUGGAUCAUUACUGACACUGAGGAACGAAAGCAUGGGUAGCGAAGAGGAUUAGAUACCCUCGUAGUCCAUGCCGUAAACGAUGUGUGUUAGACGUUGGAAAUUUAUUUUCUGUGUCGCAGCGAAAGCAAUAAACACACCGCCUGGGGAGUACGACCGCAAGGUUAAAACUCAAAUGAAUUGACGGGGACCCGCACAAGUAGUGGAGCAUGUGGUUUAAUUCGAAGAUACGCGCAGAACCUUACCAACACUUGACAUGUUCGUCGCGACUUUAAGAGAUUAAAGUUUUCGGUUCGGCCGGACGAAACACAGGUGCUGCAUGGCUGUCGUCAGCUCGUGUCGUGAGAUGUUGGGUUAAGUCCCGCAACGAGCGCAACCCUCACUUUUAGUUGCCAUCAUUUAGUUGGGCACUCUGAAAGAACUGCCAGUGAUAAGCUGGAGGAAGGUGGGGAUGACGUCAAGUCCUCAUGGCCCUUACGUGUUGGGCUACACACGUGCUACAAUGGCAAUUACAAUAGGAAGCAAAACGGCGACGUUAAGCAAAUCCUAAAAAAGUGCCUCAGUUCGGAUUGUACUCUGCAACUCGAGUACAUGAAGCUGGGAUUACUAGUAAUCGCGGAUCAGCGCGCCGCGGUGAAUACGUUCCCGGGUCUUGUACACACCGCCCGUCACACCAUGGGAGUUGGUUCUACCUUAAGGCAGCCGCUAAAAACUUUGACCACGGUAUAGUCAGCGACUGGGGUGAAGUCGUAACAAGGUAGCCGUAGGGGAACCUGCGGCUGGAUUACCUCCUUUCU
This 1445-nucleotide ribosomal RNA is filed under the name uncultured marine bacterium. RNAcentral describes it as "16S ribosomal RNA". It matches the Rfam family "Bacterial small subunit ribosomal RNA". The record is from RNAcentral.